Molecule: long non-coding RNA, 485 nt
Organism: Solanum pennellii
Lineage: Eukaryota; Viridiplantae; Streptophyta; Magnoliopsida; Solanales; Solanaceae
Exons: 3
Source: RefSeq, a predicted model, not a curated record
UACCAAACUCUACUUGGUUUACUAGUCAAGGAAUGACAACGAUACCUAAGAACUCAAUUGAUCUUGAGAAAGAGAAAAAACAAACCCCUCAGCUCAUGCAUUAACUAUCUAGGGAACGACCGAGAACAAGGAACUGCAAACUCUGCUUUGUUUACUAGUAAAGGAAUGCCAACAAUACCUAAGAACUCCAUCGAUCUUGAGAAAGAGAACAAGAAAACUAACCCCUCAGCUUAUGCAUCAACUAAUGUAGAUUCUAUAGGGAAUGGGCAAGGACAAGGACUUAAAAGCUCUACUUUUGAGUCAAGGAAUGAGAAUGAACCAUAACAACAACAUGACGUCUGAAUUUGAGGUGGGAUGUAUUAACAAAAGUGGUCUUUCUGCUAAUCAACAUACAAAAACUCAUUCUAAAAGAACAAGAUCGAAUUCGACCAUGUUGUCUAGUCAAGAAAUGCAAAAAAUGGAUAAAAUGAUUCUUGAGAAAGAGG